CCAUGGUAUUAGAGGUACUGCCUGCCCAGUGAUAACAUUCAACGGCCGCGGUAUUUUGACCGUGCAAAGGUAGCAUAAUCACUUGUCUUCUAAAUAAAGACUAGUAUGAACGGCAAAACGAAGGUUUAACUGUCUCCUUUGUCCACUCAAUGAAAUUGAUCUCCCAGUACAAAAGCUGUGAUUAAACAACAAGACGAGAAGACCCUAUGGAGCUUAAAACAUACUAGAAAGUACAACAACAUUUACUAAUCUAAUGUACUAAUUCCACAUUGUUUUGGUUGGGCGACCACGGAGAUACUAAUCCUCCGAGAUGACAUGCCAGGAAACACCCAAGAAUCAGAAACUGAACAUUGACCCAUUACUUGACAACGAACAGUACCCUAGGAAAAGCGCAUCUCUCAGAGCCUAUCACAGGAGUACGACUCAUGUGACAGAUACUGCGUGACCGCCUCAAGGUUGUUGUCAAAAUAAUCUACGGACCGAUCAACCGAGG
This 493-nucleotide ribosomal RNA is filed under the name Ichthyophis benjii. RNAcentral describes it as "partial large subunit ribosomal RNA". The stretch from base 1 to 180 matches the Rfam family "Archaeal large subunit ribosomal RNA", at positions 1930 to 2143 of the family's 2987-position model. The record is from RNAcentral. Lineage: Eukaryota; Metazoa; Chordata; Amphibia; Gymnophiona; Ichthyophiidae.